CGCCAGAUGUGGGGGGGCCCUUAGGUAACUAUCUGUAGUCACAAAAGUUACCCGACAUUGAUACCGUCUUGCAGUGUUGCUCCACAAACGUUAACUGUAGGUACCAUAAAGAAUGAAAAGGAUGGUAUGAAAUCAGUUAGAGGGAGCUAGCAUCAGUCCCAUUCCAGUUGCAGGUGUUCAGCCGACUGUCUUAUCUAAGUCUGACAUUUUAUAUUAUAAGAAUAUUGUUUUCACUUUUCUAUGAAUUUAUGUUUCGUAAUGGUUGGUUUUAUAAACUUUUACAAUGAUUUUCCUACUGCAUGAUCUUCCAUCUAUUUUAAAAAUAUUUGGAUCAAAUUUUAUGUUGUAGUUCUGUCCAGCGUCGGCCGUCAGGCAUAGGGUUACCAGAUGACAGGAAUUUUCCUGACAUGUCAGGAAUUUUGGCCUUUUGUCAGGAAUGGGGACGGAACACGAUAAUGUCAGGAAUUUAUUCAUUUGAUAGAAUUUUUUAUAAAGUACCAUUUUAUUUACUUAAAUUAAUGAUAAUAAUAUGAGAUCCAUCCAAUAAUACAUACGCGUUGACGCGACUAUCGGUUCAAUCGGGUGGCCAUCGCUAACGGCUAGACCGCCCCCCCGUCGUCGUCGUCAAAAUUAUGGAUGUCAGGAAAAAUACUCGGAAAUCAGGAAUUUUGUCAGAUAAUUUAAAAAUUGUAUCUAGUAACCCUAGUCAGGCAGGCUACAAUUUUAUUGUAGAGUCAGACCAAGAAAAGUCUGCAGCGGAUUUGAUAGCCCAUGCAGUGCAGGUGUUAUUUUAAACGUCAAAUUCCUAUGAAAAUAUGACGUUUGUAACGACACUUUCACACUUUUUUCUAUUCAAAUCCGUGCAAACUUAGCUUAGACGGACGCUAUCUAAUAUGGCGGCGGGCGUCAAACUCGUUGAUUUAAUUGAAUUUCUUAAUAUUUUCGCAUUUGGGACCUAUUGGCCUUUAUUUUUUUUAUGAAACCCUUCGCGCGUAAAAGUUUAUAACAUCAAUAUUCUCUGGCCUUUUUAUAUUAAUGAACCAUACAUGCAUUAGUUGUAGUUUUAUACUUGUAGAAUGAAAUUGUUUAUAUCUUUAAUAUAUACCUGUUGAUAAUAAUGUGAAAUAAUAUCUGUAGUAAUUAAUGAAUAUAGAAUUUGUUAUAAUUUA
Molecule: long non-coding RNA, 1169 nt
Organism: Cydia fagiglandana
Lineage: Eukaryota; Metazoa; Arthropoda; Insecta; Lepidoptera; Tortricidae
Exons: 2
Source: RefSeq, a predicted model, not a curated record